Small nuclear RNA from Talpa occidentalis (Iberian mole), 128 nucleotides. The record is from RefSeq and is a predicted model, not a curated record. NCBI's taxonomy places the organism in Eukaryota, Metazoa, Chordata, Mammalia, Eulipotyphla, Talpidae.
GUACUGAAUGAUAGGCAAAGUUAGCACUUCCCUUAAUAAGGAUGGAAUUGGUUCUAGUGACUUACAAAAGUCAUGAACAUCGGCUAAGGAAAUGUCACUAACUUUGUGAUUUUUAUCCAUAAAAUGUA